Long non-coding RNA from Clupea harengus (Atlantic herring), 1756 nucleotides. The record is from Ensembl. NCBI's taxonomy places the organism in Eukaryota, Metazoa, Chordata, Actinopteri, Clupeiformes, Clupeidae.
GAGUGUUCUAUUAAUUUGCCAAGUCUCCCACCUGAAAGCACUAUCUAAGUAUGUGGACCAGGGAGUAUUCAAAAGUCCUUCAAAGCACACCUUCAUUGACCUCUGCUUGAGAAUGUGCUUCACUCGAGAACUGCACAACCGCCUGUGUUUUCAAUUAGAGGAUAUAAAAUGUCAACUAACAUUCCGUGGCAAGAAACACAAUUAUCAGAUGCCAGUCUUUAGUGCACUUCUCCAAAACGCGAAUUCCAUGUGUCGUUGGUGGCUGUAGGUGGACCAAUGCAGAGAAACAACUAUGUUUCUACACAACAUACAUUUGUAACAAGUGGAUGACCCCUCGUUCCCAAUGAAUGAUUACGUCUGAGGAAGUCGCCGUGCAUUAUUCCCGACUGUUUCCCAGAAAGAAUGAAGAAAUGGUGGAAUUUUUUGGUAAGUCACAGCCUCCUGUGCUUUCCCUAUGAGUGUGGAGGCGGGGCACUUCAGUCCAAGACUCGUCCACCGAAAAUAACCUGCAUGAGGGAGGGAAGAGACUUCCAGAGAAAAGUGAGAGAGAGUAGAGGGAGGAGGAAAGGAUAGUGCCCGAAAAAGCGGGGAGGGAGAGAAGAAGAAGAAGAACGGAGUGCCUGCGCUGCGAUGGAAUAAAAACUGCGCAAUUUUAAAUCCUAUCUCCGCUGCUCUUCCAGCGCUGGCCAGCGGCUGCAGCGCAGCCACACGCCACCCGAUGUCUCCUGGACAUGCGAACACGUUUCGUCCAGCUUGCGUGGAUUUCCUCGUCCUUUACCACUGGCUGUUCGUUUAGACAACAAUUGUGUGACAAUUUCUUUGAUAGUCUUUGAGCUACAUGGCAAACGUUUUGGAGAAGAAUUGGCAGAGACAAGCCUCUGUGACGGCCACAUCUUUGCUUCGGUUUCAUAACGUAUCUGCGUGUGUAGAAGUGCAUCCUCACGCCGUCAUUUCAAACAUGCGUAUCGAUUCGGAAUGCAUAAUUAAACCUUCUUACAUGACCACGCUCGUGCUGCGUGACUCUCCAGGCGUCCAUUCUGGUGGGAAGAGGAGAAUGCCUACCAUAAUCGUCUUUUGGGAUGUAUCACUGGACAAUUUAACGUUAUGGAGAAGGGGCACGGCACCUCCCAGUCACACUCUGCUUUUGGCAGCAGAGAAAUGCAACCAAACAUGAAUGCUGAUGAACUGGCUGGGCAGCCACAGCACAAGGUCAGAGAGUUUGUCCAUGGAUCACGGCCACCAAUCAUGGAGUCUCUCGAGCAACUGAGUGGCAGACCAAAUGGCCAAUCAGCUUUCGGAGAGGAGUCCUCCCUCCCUCUGCUGUGUUUGUCUCUCUGUCUCCCCCGGUCCACCGGGCUGCUCCCUGCCCCUCCCCAGGCAGAGACCACCAUGCUGGGCAGAGAGCAGAGGUGUUCAGCUGCACUCAUCCUCCUCACUGCAACCUCUCCAAACCUCGAACACACAGGAGAAGGGCGAGAGAGGAAGAGAGAGAGAGAGAAGGAGAGCGAGCGAGUGAGAGACUGAGAGAGAGGAAGAAAGAAAGUGAGAGAGGGAGAGCUGGUAAGAAAUGGAGGGAUAAGAGGUAGAUGAUGAGUGAUAGAGGGAAAGCAGGUGGAUGACAGGAGGCUUUGAUUGGUUCACUACAUGAAAGAGAGAGUGUGUGCCGCCUGACAGCACAGGCCGAUAGGAGAGAGUGGAGAUGAGUGCAACUUAAAACACACUAGUCAGAUCCACACACUCCCCCUCUCUCUCUCUC